This 229-nucleotide ribosomal RNA is filed under the name uncultured bacterium. Its description in RNAcentral is "partial 16S ribosomal RNA". It matches the Rfam family "Bacterial small subunit ribosomal RNA", at positions 568 to 796 of the family's 1533-position model. The record is from RNAcentral.
UGCGCAGGCGGGGAUGUAAGUCAGUGGUGAAAUACUGCCGCUCAACGGUAGAACUGCCAUUGAUACUGCAUCUCUUGAGUAUGGUUGAGGUAGGCGGAAUGUGUUGUGUAGCGGUGAAAUGCAUAGAUAUGACACAGAACACCGAUUGCGAAGGCAGCUUACUAAGCCAUUACUGACGCUGAGGCACGAAAGCGUGGGGAGCGAACAGGAUUAGAUACCCUGGUAGUCC